Molecule: ribosomal RNA, 351 nt
Filed under: uncultured bacterium
Lineage: Bacteria
Description: bacterial SSU rRNA
Rfam family: Bacterial small subunit ribosomal RNA
Source: RNAcentral
AGAGUUUGAUCAUGGCUCAGGAUGAACGCUAGCUACAGGCUUAACACAUGCAAGUCGAGGGGCAGCAUUUUAGUUUGCUUGCAAACUAAAGAUGGCGACCGGCGCACGGGUGAGUAACACGUAUCCAACCUGCCGAUAACUCGGGGAUAGCCUUUCGAAAGAAAGAUUAAUAUCCGAUAGCAUAUUGAGAUCGCAUGAUUUUGAUAUUAAAGAAUUUCGGUUAUCGAUGGGGAUGCGUUCCAUUAGUUUGUUGGCGGGGUAACGGCCCACAAGACUACGAUGGAUAGGGGUUCUGAGAGGAAGGUCCCCCANAUUGGAACUGAGACACGGUCCAAACUCCUACGGGAGGCA